UUGCUCCAGCAGCACAUGUACUGAAAUUGGAACAAUACAGAAAAAAUUAACAUGGUCACUGUGCAAGAAUGACACCCAAAUUUGUGAAGCAUUCCAUAUUGUU
Gracilinanus agilis (Agile Gracile Mouse Opossum) is the source of this 103-nucleotide small nuclear RNA. Lineage: Eukaryota; Metazoa; Chordata; Mammalia; Didelphimorphia; Didelphidae. The record is from RefSeq and is a predicted model, not a curated record.